This 492-nucleotide ribosomal RNA is filed under the name uncultured bacterium. RNAcentral describes it as "partial 16S ribosomal RNA". It matches the Rfam family "Bacterial small subunit ribosomal RNA", at positions 29 to 507 of the family's 1533-position model. The record is from RNAcentral.
AGUGAACGCUGGCGGUAGGCCUAACACAUGCAAGUCGAACGGCAGCACAGUAAGAGCUUGCUCUUACGGGUGGCGAGUGGCGGACGGGUGAGGAAUACAUCGGAAUCUACUUUUUCGUGGGGGAUAACGUAGGGAAACUUACGCUAAUACCGCAUAUGACCUACGGGUGAAAGCAGGGGAUCUUCGGACCUUGCGCGAUUGAAUGAGCCGAUGUCGGAUUAGCUAGUUGGCGGGGUAAAGGCCCACCAAGGCGACGAUCCGUAGCUGGUCUGAGAGGAUGAUCAGCCACACUGGAACUGAGACACGGUCCAGACUCCUACGGGAGGCAGCAGUGGGGAAUAUUGGACAAUGGGCGCAAGCCUGAUCCAGCCAUACCGCGUGAGUGAAGAAGGCCUUCGGGUUGUAAAGCCCUUUUGUUGGGAAAGAAAAGCAGCAGGUUAAUACCCCGCUGUUCUGACGGUACCCAAAGAAUAAGCACCGGCUAACUUCGUG